GACGAACGCUGGCGGCGUGCUUAACACAUGCAAGUCGAACGGUAAGGCCCUUCGGGGUACACGAGUGGCGAACGGGUGAGUCACACGUGGGUGAUCUGCCCUGCACUUCGGGAUAAGCCUGGGUAACUGGGUCUAAUACCGGAUAGGACUCCUGGCUUCAUGGUUGGGGGUGGAAAGCUUUUGCGGGGUGGGAUGGGCCCGCGGCCUAUCAGCUUGUGGGUGGGGUAAUGGCCUACCAAGGCGACGACGGGUAGCCGGCCUGAGAGGGUGACCGGUCACACUGGGACUGAGAGACGGCCCAGACUCCUACGGGAGGCAGCAGUGGGGAAUAUUGCACAAUGGGCGCAAGCCUGAUGCAGCGACGCCGCGUGAGGGAUAACGGCCUUCGGGUUGUAAACCUCUUUCAGCUAUGACGAAGCGCAAGUGACGGUAGUAGCAGAAGAAGGACCGGCCAACUACGUGCCAGCAGCCGCAGUAA
Molecule: ribosomal RNA, 478 nt
Filed under: uncultured bacterium
Lineage: Bacteria
Description: partial 16S ribosomal RNA
Rfam family: Bacterial small subunit ribosomal RNA
Source: RNAcentral